UAGGGAAUCUUCCACAAUGGACGCAAGUCUGAUGGAGCAACGCCGCGUGAGUGAAGAAGGCUUUCGGGUCGUAAAACUCUGUUAUUGAAGAAGAACGUGCGUGACAGUAACUGGUCAUGCAGUGACGGUAUUCAAUCAGAAAGUCACGGCUAACUACGUGCCAGCAGCCGCGGUAAUACGUAGGUGGCAAGCGUUGUCCGGAUUUAUUGGGCGUAAAACGAGUGCAGGCGGUCUUUUAAGUCUGAUGUGAAAGCCUUCGGCUUAACCGAAGAAGGGCAUCGGAAACUGGGAGACUUGAGUGCAGAAGAGGAGAGUGGAACUCCAUGUGUAGCGGUGGAAAUGCGUAGAUAUAUGGAAGAACACCAGUGGCGAAGGCGGCUCUCUGGUCUGAUACUGACGCUGAGGCUCGAAAGC
RNAcentral lists this ribosomal RNA (414 nucleotides) under uncultured bacterium. RNAcentral describes it as "partial 16S ribosomal RNA". It matches the Rfam family "Bacterial small subunit ribosomal RNA", at positions 355 to 760 of the family's 1533-position model. The record is from RNAcentral.